RNAcentral lists this ribosomal RNA (1337 nucleotides) under Megachile sculpturalis. RNAcentral describes it as "16S ribosomal RNA". Lineage: Eukaryota; Metazoa; Arthropoda; Insecta; Hymenoptera; Megachilidae. The record is from RNAcentral.
UAUUAAAUUAUUAAGUUAUGUUGUUUGUUAAUUUAAUUUUUUAUAAUAAAAAUUAUUAUUAAUUUUUUAUGUUUUAGUAUUAUAAAUAGAAUAAAUUUUUUUAUUUAUAUAAAUGUAAUGUAAAUGAAUUUAAUAAAAUAUCUAAAAGAAUAUUUGUUAUAUUACCUUUUGUAUCAGGGUUGAUUAAUUUAUAUUUAUAAAUUUUAAAAAUCUCGAAAAUAAAAGAGCUAAUUUUAUAUAAUUUUUUAUGUUUUAUAAUAAUUAUAAAUAUAAAAUUAGAGGUGAAAAGUCAUUCGGUUUUAUUGAUAUCUAGUUUUUUUAAAAAAUAAAUUUAAUUUAGAUAUUUAUUAAUAUUUAUUUUUAUAUAAAAUAAAUAUUGAUUUAUAUAAAUAAUUUAAGGGUAAUCUUUAAAUUAAUUUAUUAUUAAAAGUUUUUAAUAAUAAUAAAUAAAUAAUUUUUAUAUUAGAAAAUUUUAGUGAUAAUUUAAUAGUUUAUUUUUUUUCAAGUCUUAAAAAUUUUAGUUUUUAAUAUAAUUAAUAAAAAAAAUGAUUAUUUUAAUAAUUAUGAUUAUGAAAUAAUGAUUAUAUAAGUAAUAAAAUAAAUGUAUAUUAUAUUUAUAUUAUAAUAUAAAUAUAUUUAUUAGGAAUUCGGCAAAAUUUAUAUUCACCUGUUUAUCAAAAACAUGUCUUUUUGAUAAUAAUUUAAAGUCGGCUCUGCUCAAUGAUAUUGAAUUAAAUGGCUGCAGUAUUUUAACUGUACAAAGGUAGCAUAAUCAAUUGUCUUUUAAUUGAAGGCUGGAAUGAAUGAGUUGAUGAAAUAUAAACUGUCUUAUUUAUAUUAAAUGAAAUUGAAAUUUAAGUUAAAAUGCUUAAAUAUUAUUUAGGGACGAUAAGACCCUGUAGAAUUUUAUAUAUUAAUAUUAAUUAGAUUAAUAUUAUUUAAAAUAUUUUUUAUUAAUUUGAGUAUAUUUGAUUGGGAGGAUUAUUAAAUUUAUUAAACUUUAAUUUUAAAUUACAUUGAUUUAUGGAUAUAUAUAUAUAUAUAUAUAUAAUUGAUAUAUUUUUAAUUAUAAUAGAGUAAAUUACCUUAGGGAUAACAGCGUAAUAUUUUUAGAGAGAUCUUAUCAAUAAAAAUGAUUGCGACCUCGAUGUUGAAUUAAGAUAAAUUUUAAAUGUAGAAGUUUAAUAAUUAAGUCUGUUCGACUUUUAAGAUCUUACAUGAUUUGAGUUCAGAUCGACGUAAGUCAGAUCGGUUUCUAUCUUAAAUAACAAAAAUUAAUUUUGUACGAAAGGACUUGUUAAUUUAAAUUAAUUUUAUAAAUGAAUAAUUAAUAAUUU